RNAcentral lists this long non-coding RNA (400 nucleotides) under Rattus norvegicus (Norway rat). RNAcentral describes it as "long non-coding RNA NONRATT003892". Lineage: Eukaryota; Metazoa; Chordata; Mammalia; Rodentia; Muridae. The record is from RNAcentral.
AAUAAAUCUUUAAGGGGGCUAGAGAGAUGGCUCACCGGCUAUCAGCACAAGCUGCCCCUCCAGAGGACCCACGUCCUAGUCCCAGCAGCCACGUGGCAGCUCACAACCGUGUGUGACUCCAGUUCCAGGGGCUUUCGAUACCCUCACACAGACACACACGCGAGCAAAACACCAACGCACAUAAAAUAAAAAUAAACAAAUCAUAUUUAAAAUGAUGUAAAUAAAUCUACGAAGAGAAGGAGGAAGAGGAAGAAGGAGGCAGAGGCUCGUCCUGGCCUUACUUCUCCCAGCUGAGGGCCCAGGGAACACAUUGACUCAAAACAACGUUCCACAUUUUAACACCUGAGUCCAACAUAAGGUUUGGUUUUGUUUUAAAUAAAAGUGACAACUGUGGUAAGAA